Molecule: long non-coding RNA, 1044 nt
Filed under: Malus domestica (apple)
Lineage: Eukaryota; Viridiplantae; Streptophyta; Magnoliopsida; Rosales; Rosaceae
Description: long non-coding RNA (MDOM_LNC003467)
Source: RNAcentral
UUUGUUAGGUUAUUUCAGACUCUCUCAGUCGCUCUCGCUCUCUCACCUCACUGGCGCCGCUCGCCUCACUCACUCUCACAGUCCCCCCGCUCCACUCCUCCGUCGAAUCCACGCCGCUCCUCAUCGUCCACCCCGCUUCUCUCGGAUGACGAUGAGAAUCCACGCCGCUCCUCAUCGUCAUCCGCUAAUCCUCAUCGUCGAAUCCACGCCGGUCCUCAUCGUCAUCCGUCCCGAAAAACCGAAAAUAUGGCAACCGCUCCAUCUCCAUCGUCAUCCGCAUCGUCAAAAUCGUCAAAGGGAUGGAUAAACAGCAUCUCAGCGAUCGCCUCUCGUGUCUACUUCUUCCUCAUCAUUCUUCAGAUCCCGCUUUUCAGGUACUCCAGUUCUCACUCCAUUAAUCCCUACACUCUCUGUAUCCAAAUCUGUGUACUUUUUUUCUAAUUUUGAUAUAAUCCCUAGUUGUUCAACUUGUUUGGCUAUCUGGGUUUGCUUAUUUUUGCUAAUUUCCAUGUUUUUGUAUCUGGGUAUUUGGUAAUUUUUCGGUUUGUCGAAUCUCGGUUGGUUAAAGUUUGAAACCCUCUGUGGGUUUAUCUGGAAUUUGGAUGCACAUUUUGAAGCUAUUGGGACCGUAUUGUUGAUUUGGACUUCGAUUUUACUGAAGGAUUAAGUAUAUUAUUUGUUUUAGAUUGGUCGAUUGAAAUUUGUGAUACACGGAGUUUGGCUUUUGGAUCUGCAAAAAGGGAUUUAGUUUAGCAGUUGAAUUGAUACACUUUCGGGAAUCCCGAAGUUUCCCGAAAAUCCUGAAACACUUUCGGGAAUCCCGAAUUUCGGGAUUCCAAUAGUUUUGGUUCGGUUUCGGGAUAUAAAAUCCCAUCCCGAAAUGUUUUGGUUUGGGAAUCGGGUUCGGGGUUUCGGUUCGGGAUCCCGACCCGAACCAGCCCUAGCCGUUAUUUUAUUUAUUAUUUUUUUUAACAAUUUUUUUUUUAAAAUUUCCCUAUGCCUUUCUAAACCAUUAAACAUUACAUAACAUUAAGCUAGCAAUGG